This 497-nucleotide ribosomal RNA is filed under the name uncultured bacterium. RNAcentral's name for it is "partial 16S ribosomal RNA". It matches the Rfam family "Bacterial small subunit ribosomal RNA", at positions 28 to 507 of the family's 1533-position model. The record is from RNAcentral.
GAUGAACGCUGGCGGCGUGCCUAAUACAUGCAAGUCGAGCGAACGGACGAGAAGCUUGCUUCUCUGAUGUUAGCGGCGGACGGGUGAGUAACACGUGGAUAACCUACCUAUAAGACUGGGAUAACUUCGGGAAACCGGAGCUAAUACCGGAUGAUAUUUUGAACCGCAUGGUUCAAAAGUGAAAGACGGUCUUGCUGUCACUUAUAGAUGGAUCCGCGCUGCAUUAGCUAGUUGGUAAGGUAACGGCUUACCAAGGCAACGAUGCAUAGCCGACCUGAGAGGGUGAUCGGCCACACUGGAACUGAGACACGGUCCAGACUCCUACGGGAGGCAGCAGGAGGGAAUCUUCCGCAAUGGGCGAAAGCCUGACGGAGCAACGCCGCGUGAGUGAUGAAGGUCUUCGGAUCGUAAAACUCUGUUAUUAGGGAAGAACAUAUGUGUAAGUAACUGUGCACAUAUUGACGGUACCUAAUCAGAAAGCCACGGCUAACUACGUG